GACGAACGCUGGCGGCGUGCUUAACACAUGCAAGUCGAACGGAAAGGCCCUGCUUUUGUGGGGUGCUCGAGUGGCGAACGGGUGAGUAACACGUGAGUAACCUGCCCUUGACUUUGGGAUAACUUCAGGAAACUGGGGCUACUACCGGAUAGCAUCUCCCCCUGCAUGGUGGGGGUUGGAUAUUUUCGGCUGUUGGGGAUGGAUUCGCGGCUUAUGAGCUUGUUGGUGGGCUAGUGGCUUACCAAGGGUUUGACGGGUAGGCGGCCUGAGAGGGGGACCGGCCACAUUGGGACUGAGAUACGGACCAGAGUCGUACGGGAGGCAGCAGUGGGGAAUAUGGCACAAUGGGCGGGAGUCUGAGGCAGAAACGCCGGGUGCGGAAUGACGGUUUUCGGGUUGUAAACAGCUUUCGGCUGUGACGAGGCGUGAGUGACGGUAAUGGGUAAAGAAGCACCGGCUAACUACGUG
This 468-nucleotide ribosomal RNA is filed under the name uncultured bacterium. Its description in RNAcentral is "partial 16S ribosomal RNA". It matches the Rfam family "Bacterial small subunit ribosomal RNA", at positions 28 to 507 of the family's 1533-position model. The record is from RNAcentral.